This is a small nucleolar RNA of Nycticebus coucang (slow loris), 132 nucleotides long. RefSeq annotates it as small nucleolar RNA SNORA70. The transcript has a single exon. Lineage: Eukaryota; Metazoa; Chordata; Mammalia; Primates; Lorisidae. The record is from RefSeq and is a predicted model, not a curated record.
UUUCUUUUUUUAAAUAUAAACAUUUUAUUCCCAAUGGGGGCCUGGUGUGCAAUGGUUGAAACAGCAGCCCCCUUGGUUGUGUUUGCAGCCUGUUGCUUGUAUAGAUUGCGCUAAGGGACCUUAGAGACAUUC